CAGACGAGGAGCUUGCUCCUUUGACGUUAGCGGCGGACGGGUGAGUAACACGUAGGUAACCUACCUAUAAGACUGGGAUAACUUCGGGAAACCGGAGCUAAUACCGGAUAAUAUUUCGAACCGCAUGGUUCGAUAGUGAAAGAUGGCUUUGCUAUCACUUAUAGAUGGACCUGCGCCGUAUUAGCUAGUUGGUAAGGUAACGGCUUACCAAGGCAACGAUACGUAGCCGACCUGAGAGGGUGAUCGGCCACACUGGAACUGAGACACGGUCCAGACUCCUACGGGAGGCAGCAGUAGGGAAUCUUCCGCAAUGGGCGAAAGCCUGACGGAGCAACGCCGCGUGAGUGAUGAAGGUCUUCGGAUCGUAAAACUCUGUUAUUAGGGAAGAACAAACGUGUAAGUAACUGUGCACGUCUUGACGGUACCUAAUCAGAAAGCCACGGCUAACUACGUGCCAGCAGCCGCGGUAAUACGUAGGUGGCAAGCGUUAUCCGGAAUUAUUGGGCGUAAAGCGCGCGUAGGCGGUUUUUUAAGUCUGAUGUGAAAGCCCACGGCUCAACCGUGGAGGGUCAUUGGAAACUGGAAAACUUGAGUGCAGAAGAGGAAAGUGGAAUUCCAUGUGUAGCGGUGAAAUGCGCAGAGAUAUGGAGGAACACCAGUGGCGAAGGCGACUUUCUGGUCUGUAACUGACGCUGAUGUGCGAAAGCGUGGGGAUCAAACAGGAUUAGAUACCCUGGUAGUCCACGCCGUAAACGAUGAGUGCUAAGUGUUAG
Molecule: ribosomal RNA, 773 nt
Filed under: Staphylococcus sp.
Lineage: Bacteria; Bacillati; Bacillota; Bacilli; Caryophanales; Staphylococcaceae
Description: bacterial SSU rRNA
Rfam family: Bacterial small subunit ribosomal RNA
Source: RNAcentral